UACGUAGGGUGCGAGCGUUAAUCGGAAUUACUGGGCGUAAAGCGUGCGCAGGCGGUCCGCAAAGUCUGAUGUGAAAGCCCCGGGCUCAACCUGGGAACUGCAUUGGAAACUAGCGGGCUCGAGUGUGGCAGAGGGGGGUGGAAUUCCACGUGUAGCAGUGAAAUGCGUAGAGAUGUGGAGGAACACCGAUGGCGAAGGCAGCCCCCUGGGCUAACACUGACGCUCAGGCACGAAAGCGUGGGGAGCAAACAGG
This 253-nucleotide ribosomal RNA is filed under the name uncultured bacterium. RNAcentral describes it as "partial 16S ribosomal RNA". It matches the Rfam family "Bacterial small subunit ribosomal RNA", at positions 524 to 776 of the family's 1533-position model. The record is from RNAcentral.